Molecule: long non-coding RNA, 3937 nt
Organism: Anolis carolinensis (green anole)
Lineage: Eukaryota; Metazoa; Chordata; Lepidosauria; Squamata; Anolidae
Exons: 2
Source: RefSeq, a predicted model, not a curated record
CCAGGCGAGGGUCCCUCUCCUCAUCCCGGCUGAGUCCGUACGUGAGCCUGUGUGUGCCACGGUUUGAUCAACAAGCGCUUGGCCAUCUUUGCUUCUAAUCGCAGGACCACGCCGAGCUCCCCAAUGAAUUAUGCAGUCCCUGUUUGCGCUUUCCAAGCCAGCUCCAUUAUCUCGCCGGGCACACCUGGCCUCUAUGAGAUAGAUUUCCCUUCAUCGAAGUGCGCAGGCAAUGGCUGGAGACAGAGCGAGUAUUAAAUCAGAGCGGAGGUUCUGACAGCCCUGCGAGCGUUUCCCCUGGUCGCCUCUGCGACAAAGCGGGAGGCCGACAUAAUGCCAGGUUCUGCUGGCAUUUCAUCCUCCAAGAAGAGGAGCAGGAAGCUGAGCGCUCGGCAGCUGAGAACACACAGAUUUGGAAGCAGCCGGCCCGACCAGAUGGAGGAACGAUUACUGACACCGAAAGUUACCGUCUUUUAAAAAUCUUGGCACUUCACACAAAGGGGAGGGGGAUAAGAAGGAUAAAAAGCACAUGGAAACGGGUUGGUUUUGGUCUCUGGAGAGCUUUGUUGUUUCAUUUUCCCCAAGUAAAAACUGGGAAAGAGUUAACUCGUCCCCAGAUAAAAAGGAGGGGAUAGGAAUAAUGUGAUGGCAGCCGGGCCAAAGCAGAAGUUGGCUGAUUCUUUUUAAAAACUAUUUUGGUAUUUUUUUCCCCUGAAAGCAAAAACUAAUGUACUUAGGCAUUGUCAUGUUCUGAGAUUUAUUCAGAGGUUUACCAUUUUCUUCCUACGAGACUGAAAUAAGUAUCUUGCUUACAGGCAACUAAGAGUAGUGGCUUGAGUGCUGGACUAUGAUUCUGGAGACCAAGGUUCAAAUCCCUGAACCGUCAUGGAAACCUCUUUGAAGAGAGAAAAAGAGAUAUACGAGGGUUGAAUGAAAAGUAAUGCCUCCACCUUCGUAACUCCUCAACAGAUGGCAGUCCUGGUCUGCUGCAGGUCCUGGCUUGUUCAGUAGACUCUCCUCUAUGGUUCCAUUUGGUGGGAGGCCGUAGCAUUGAACGGUUGUGUUGUUAAAGUGCAAAAUAGGGAACCCUGCGCAGAUGGUCGGUCAAUGCGACUUAAGUAAUGUGCAGUCAUUGAACUCUUGACUUUAGAAGGUGUCACCCCAAAGGAGAUCCAUCAGAGAAUGCAAGCUGUUUAUGGGGAUUGUGUUGAUGUGAAUACUGUGCGUCGUUGGGCGAGUAAGUUUAAAGAUGUUGAGGUGGGAACAUCUGACUUGUGUGACAAACAAAGGGUUGGAUGUCUUGUGACAGCAACCACUGAGUUUCACAAGUAAAAGGUUGACAGAUUGAUUCAGGAUGAUCGUUGUAUCACUCAGAGAGAAAUUUCAAGCAUAAUCAGCUUUCACAAGAAUGUGUGGGUCACAUUAUUGUGUUGCUUGGCUAUCGGAAGAUCUGUGCACGAUGGGUCCUGUGAGACGCCAGUUGUGGAAACAGAGUGUCGACUUUUUCCAUGGCGGCUUCAGAAAACUUGUUCAUCAUUGGCAGAAAUGCAUCCAAUUGUCUGGUGAUGAUGUGGAAAAGUGAAUAAUGGAAGUUAAAGAGCACAUUCUAAGGAUUAUUUCUGCGCUUGAUUUAUUAAAAUAUUCCCAUCCAAACCCAAGUAACGAAGGUGGAGGCAUUACUUUUCAUACAACCCUCCUAUAAAUCAUUAUCAUCAUUGUUGUCUUCUGAUUGGGGAAGCCUUGGACAAGUCCCACUCUCUCAGCCUCAGAGGAAGGCAAUGUCAAACCUGGUCUGAACAAACCUUGCCAAGGAAACCCUAGGAGAGAGUCCACACAAACCAGAGUCAGCCUGAAAGUACACAGUGACAGCAACAAGUUGUGUACAUCUUUCCAGGCAAAAAUCUAUCUUAGGCUGCAAACGUACCUAAUGCAUUCAAGGAAAGACAUAAACGAGAUAGUUUUGUUAUUGAGGAAUGAUAAGAGUUUGAACCAAUUAUGGUGCCUUUGUGUUGAAAGCACACAAUCAUAAAAGUAACAAGUAUUAGAAGCCAAAUUACAAGGAGCGAGGUUUUGGUAAAUUCAAGUCAUCUAUAAUAUGCAAUUUAAUGCAGUUUGACUUUAAAUGCCAUGCUGCAGAAUCCCGGAAGUCGUAGUUUGUAGCACUCUUUGGCAGAGAAGGCUAAAGAUCUUGUAAUGCUACAACUUACAAGAUUUCAUAGCAUUGAGCCAUGGCAGUUCAAGUGGUAGCAAACUGCAUUGAUUGUACCGUAUAGAUGCACCCAGAGAUGCUUUUACCUUAAACCUGUAAUACUCAAAUGUAAAGGGACAGGUCCAGAACUGUGUUUCAGACAAAGCUCUACCUGCAAAAGUCAGAGAUAGGGAUAUAUCUAGUUAGUCACCAAUAAUGCAAGUGUUUUUCUUCUCUUCUAGCCGGAUGAAGGAUGAGUUCAGCCCAUGAAGUCUCAAGGCAAAAUGUUAUUAGCAGUUAUAAACAACAACAAUAACAAGAACGCAUAGUAUUUCUGAGGCUUUUGUCAUCAGGUGGCCACAGACAACUUCAGCUCUUGCCAUCUAAUGUUUUCCAAGAAGCAAAGAAUGGAGUAAAUAGAAUUGCUACCGUUUCAUUCUGCUCCUCUGCCACUUCACACACGAAUUAAAACCAAGGACUGUGAAUCAUGUCAAUUGUGUUGGGCGAAAUGAAAAGUCCUGGAGAUGCAGUACUCAUGCCAAGGACAAACAUCGUCAAAGGGAGCCAAAGAAGAAAAAGGGGAGAAUUUCUCUAUGCAAUUUCAACGUGAUUCAAAAGAUGGUGGUUGAAGUGAUAAUUACAGAGAUGCCACCAGGUAGAUGCAAGUCCUUGUGGACAGGUGUGAUUAAUGGUUUGGGGAUGAAGUGUUUUCGCUGCGUAAUGGGGACGAGAGCUGCCAAGGCAGUGUGCCAAGGAAUAAAAAAACACCCACAAAAAGGGGGCCAGAAAAUAAAAGCUCAAGAACAAAGUCAGGUAAUGGUGCAAAAAAAAAACAACCAAAAAAACCAAACAUACAGAACUGGAGAGUUGGAAGAUAAACCAAAGUUCAGCUCACUCAACUCUGUUAAUGAAGGAACAGGUGUAAAUCUAGAAGUAGAUUUCCGUGAAAAAAAAAUGCCAAUAUUUGGAAUGGAAAUAAUCUUAGAGAAGAAAACUGUUUAUUUUCUGAGACUUCUAUAUAUUUGCACAUCUAGAAAACAAAAUGGGGAUUUCCAAUGGAUUUAGGUUGGACAGUGAGAAGAAGAAAUGGAAACGUUGUGGUGCCAAUAUGGCACAGUUUGCAAAUCACCCACAAGCAUAUGGCACCACUUUAACUAUCAUGGCUCAAUGCUAUGGAAUCAGCAGAGUUGUAGUUUGCCAAGGUAUCAGCACCCUUUGGCAGAGAAGGCCAAAGACCUUGUAAAACUACAACCUCCAGAUUCCACAGCAUUGAAACAUGGUAAGUUAAAGUGGAAUCAAACUGCAUCCAUUCUACGGUGUGGAACAAGGAUUUGUUGUUGUUCGGUUUUUUCAAGUAAGUUUUGGCUUACAGUUGCCCAAAAGAGACUCUAAUAAAUCUUGGCAAGAUUUAUUUAGUGCGAGUCUGCCUUCACUUUCGUCUGAGGCUGAGAGAGUGUGAGUUACUCUGAAUCAUGGCAGAGUGGAGAUUCAAACCCCUCCCAGUUCUAACACUCAAAACACUACAUCUUGCUAUUAGCCUCAUGAUUUUGAUGGAUGGAAAUGAUUUUAAUUCUCAAUUAGAUAGUGGGACAACUCAAGAAAUAAUAUCCUGGAUAUAAAAGCCAGCAUAGUAGUAUUGGAUGAGGUCUCCAUGCGACAUGGCUUCAAAUCUUGGCUUGGUGAUGGAAGCCCACUGGGUGACUUUGGAUAAGUCACACUCUCUUUUUCAAAAGAAAUAAAGCUCUUAAUGCA